Molecule: ribosomal RNA, 765 nt
Filed under: Streptomyces variabilis
Lineage: Bacteria; Bacillati; Actinomycetota; Actinomycetes; Kitasatosporales; Streptomycetaceae
Also listed under: 1 other name
Description: bacterial SSU rRNA
Rfam family: Bacterial small subunit ribosomal RNA
Source: RNAcentral
AUUAGUGGCGAACGGGUGAGUAACACGUGGGCAAUCUGCCCUGCACUCUGGGACAAGCCCUGGAAACGGGGUCUAAUACCGGAUACUGACCUGCCAAGGCAUCUUGGCGGGUCGAAAGCUCCGGCGGUGCAGGAUGAGCCCGCGGCCUAUCAGCUUGUUGGUGAGGUAAUGGCUCACCAAGGCGACGACGGGUAGCCGGCCUGAGAGGGCGACCGGCCACACUGGGACUGAGACACGGCCCAGACUCCUACGGGAGGCAGCAGUGGGGAAUAUUGCACAAUGGGCGCAAGCCUGAUGCAGCGACGCCGCGUGAGGGAUGACGGCCUUCGGGUUGUAAACCUCUUUCAGCAGGGAAGAAGCGAAAGUGACGGUACCUGCAGAAGAAGCGCCGGCUAACUACGUGCCAGCAGCCGCGGUAAUACGUAGGGCGCAAGCGUUGUCCGGAAUUAUUGGGCGUAAAGAGCUCGUAGGCGGCUUGUCGCGUCGGUUGUGAAAGCCCGGGGCUUAACCCCGGGUCUGCAGUCGAUACGGGCAGGCUAGAGUUCGGUAGGGGAGAUCGGAAUUCCUGGUGUAGCGGUGAAAUGCGCAGAUAUCAGGAGGAACACCGGUGGCGAAGGCGGAUCUCUGGGCCGAUACUGACGCUGAGGAGCGAAAGCGUGGGGGAGCGAACAGGAUUAGAUACCCUGGUAGUCCACGCCGUAGACGGUGGGCACUAGGUGUGGGCAACAUUCCACGUUGUCCGUGCCGCAGCUGACGCAUUAUGUG